This 458-nucleotide ribosomal RNA is filed under the name uncultured bacterium. RNAcentral describes it as "partial 16S ribosomal RNA". It matches the Rfam family "Bacterial small subunit ribosomal RNA", at positions 338 to 795 of the family's 1533-position model. The record is from RNAcentral.
CCUACGGGAGGCUGCAGUGAGGAAUAUUGGUCAAUGGGCGAGAGCCUGAACCAGCCAAGUCGCGUGAGGGAGUACUGCCCUAUGGGUUGUAAACCUCUUUUGUCGGGGAGCAAAAGCCGGACGUGUCCGGCUGUGAGAGUUCCCGAAGAAAAAGCCUCGGCUAACUCCGUGCCAGCAGCCGCGGUAAUACGGAGGAUGCGAGCGUUAUCCGGAUUUAUUGGGUUUAAAGGGUGCGCAGGCGGAUUUUUAAGUCAGCGGUAAAAUCGUGGGGCUCAACCCCAUCCAGCCGUUGAAACUGGGGAUCUAGAGUGUGCGAGAGGUAUGCGGAAUGCGUGGUGUAGCGGUGAAAUGCAUAGAUAUCACGCAGAACCCCGAUUGCGAAGGCAGCAUACCGGUGCACAACUGACGCUCAGGCACGAAAGCGUGGGUAUCGAACAGGAUUAGAUACCCCAGUAGUC